Molecule: small nuclear RNA, 107 nt
Organism: Vombatus ursinus (common wombat)
Lineage: Eukaryota; Metazoa; Chordata; Mammalia; Diprotodontia; Vombatidae
Source: Ensembl
GUGCUCACUUAGGCAGCACAUAUACUAAAACUGGAAUGAUACAAAGAAAGUUAGCAUGGCUCCUUCGCAAGGAUGACACGAAAAUUCGUGAAGUGUUCCAUAUUAAA